Molecule: non-coding RNA, 82 nt
Organism: Hypoxylon sp. FL1150
Lineage: Eukaryota; Fungi; Ascomycota; Sordariomycetes; Xylariales; Hypoxylaceae
Source: the annotation of a GenBank genome assembly
UCCAAAUUGGUGUAGUGGCUAACAUUUGACAUUCUCAAAGUAAAGAUGUUUUAGGCCCGGGGUUGGAUUCCCUGAUUUGGAG